This 447-nucleotide ribosomal RNA is filed under the name uncultured bacterium. RNAcentral describes it as "bacterial SSU rRNA". It matches the Rfam family "Bacterial small subunit ribosomal RNA", at positions 328 to 792 of the family's 1533-position model. The record is from RNAcentral.
UGGCCAGACUCCUACGGGAGGCAGCAGUGGGGAAUAUUGCACAAUGGGGGAAACCCUGAUGCAGCGACGCCGCGUGAGUGAAGAAGUAUUUCGGUAUGUAAAGCUCUAUCAGCAGGGAAGAAAAUGACGGUACCUGACUAAGAAGCCCCGGCUAACUACGUGCCAGCAGCCGCGGUAAUACGUAGGGGGCAAGCGUUAUCCGGAUUUACUGGGUGUAAAGGGAGCGUAGACGGCAGCGCAAGUCUGAAGUGAAAUCCCAUGGCUUAACCAUGGAACUGCUUUGGAAACUGUGCAGCUAGAGUGCAGGAGAGGUAAGUGGAAUUCCUAGUGUAGCGGUGAAAUGCGUAGAUAUUAGGAGGAACACCAGUGGCGAAGGCGACUUUCUGGACUGUACCUGACGCUGAGGCGCGAAAGCGUGGGUAGCGAACGGGAUUAGAUACCCCAGUA